Molecule: ribosomal RNA, 222 nt
Filed under: uncultured bacterium
Lineage: Bacteria
Description: partial 16S ribosomal RNA
Rfam family: Bacterial small subunit ribosomal RNA
Source: RNAcentral
AGUAAUGUAUGGGGAUCUGCCCGAUAGAGGGGGAUAACUACUGGAAACGGUGGCUAAUACCGAAUAAUGUCUACGGACCAAAGCAGGGGCUCUUCGGACCUUGCACUAUCGGAUGAACCCAUAUGGGAUUAGCUAGUAGGUGGGGUAAAGGCUCACCUAGGCGACGAUCUCUAGCUGGUCUGAGAGGAUGAUCAGCCACACUGGGACUGAGACACGGCCCAG